Molecule: microRNA precursor, 89 nt
Filed under: Procavia capensis (Cape rock hyrax)
Lineage: Eukaryota; Metazoa; Chordata; Mammalia; Hyracoidea; Procaviidae
Description: miRNA (ENSPCAG00000019373.1)
Source: RNAcentral
CUUGUCAAAAAUGCAUGUAGCUGGACUUGGCUCAGAACUGGACUAAACUUGGGUUUUUGGCCUGUGCAGCCCAGGAAUCUGCAUUUUUA